Molecule: transfer-messenger RNA, 353 nt
Filed under: Planctomycetota
Lineage: Bacteria; Pseudomonadati
Also listed under: 1 other name
Description: GW928-bin9 sp004296785 Standard tmRNA
Rfam family: transfer-messenger RNA
About the family: Bacterial tmRNA, also known as 10Sa RNA or SsrA, is named for its dual tRNA and mRNA-like properties.
Source: RNAcentral
GGGGGCGCACUGGUUUCGAUCAGCGGUGCUUCCGGACGGGGUUGCGUGCCGAGGACCUCAAGUCACCUCGUAAAUCACCUUGGGACAGGCAUAACCUGCCAAUGAUUACGCUCUCGCUGCCUAAACAAUAGGCGGCCGUCCUCCGCGGAGUGUCUGCGGCUGCGGAAGGACGCCACAGCAGGCUGGUCUCCGAACUCGUGCGACGGGGGGGAGGAGACGAGAACCUACCGUCCGCUGGUCGCGUCCGCCUGUCCGCGGGCCAAGUCGCGACGAGAACCAUCCGCGGAACACGCACGUAGACGCCUCGCUCGGGUGUCGUUGAGACGCGGGUUCAAUUCCCGCCGCCUCCACCA